GACGAACGCUGGCGGCGUGCCUAAUACAUGCAAGUCGAGCGGAACUGGGGGAGCUUGCUCCUUCCAGUUUAGCGGCGAACGGGUGAGUAACACGUGGGCAACCUGCCCUGCAGCUCGGGAUAACUCCGGGAAACCGGUGCUAAUACCGAAUAGUUUGGCGCCUCUCCUGAGGCGCUACGGAAAUACGGUUUCGGCUGGCACUGCAGGCAGGCCCCGCGGCACAUUUGCUAGUUGGUGGGGUAACGGCCCACCAAGGCGACGAUGCGUAGCCGACCUGAGAGGGUGACCGGCCACACUGGGACUGAGACACGGCCCAGACUCCUACGGGAGGUAGCAGUAGGGAAUCUUCCGCAAUGGACGCAAGUCUGACGGAGCAACGCCGCGUGAGUGACGAAGGUUUUCGGAUCGUAAAACUCUGUUGUGAGGGAAGAACACGUACCAACUAACUAUUGGUACCUUGACGGUACCUCACCAGAAAGCCACGGCUAACUACGUGCCAGCAGCCGCCGUAA
RNAcentral lists this ribosomal RNA (512 nucleotides) under uncultured bacterium. RNAcentral describes it as "partial 16S ribosomal RNA". It matches the Rfam family "Bacterial small subunit ribosomal RNA", at positions 28 to 523 of the family's 1533-position model. The record is from RNAcentral.